GGAUCAAUAGUGACGGUAGCCCAAGGCUCUUAACCUUGUGGUCGUGGGUUCGAGCCCCACGGUGGGCGCCA
RNAcentral lists this transfer RNA (71 nucleotides) under Pseudomonas aeruginosa. RNAcentral describes it as "tRNA-Lys". Lineage: Bacteria; Pseudomonadati; Pseudomonadota; Gammaproteobacteria; Pseudomonadales; Pseudomonadaceae. The record is from RNAcentral.